RNAcentral lists this ribosomal RNA (416 nucleotides) under uncultured bacterium. RNAcentral describes it as "bacterial SSU rRNA". It matches the Rfam family "Bacterial small subunit ribosomal RNA", at positions 358 to 773 of the family's 1533-position model. The record is from RNAcentral.
GGAAUAUUGCGCAAUGGCCGAAAGGCUGACGCAGCGACGCCGCGUGAAGGAUGAAAUCCGUUAGGAUGUAAACUUCUUUUGCAGGGGAUGAAUGUCCCGCUAUAGGCGGGAUUGACCGUACCCUGCGACUAAGGAAUGGGUAACUAAGUGCCAGCAGCCGCGGUAAUACGUAGGAUCCGAGGGUUGUCCGGAUUUACUGGGUGUAAAGGGCGUGUAGGUGGACCUUUAAGUCGGUGGUGAAAUCUUGCAGCUUAACUGUAAAAUUGCCGUCGAUACUGGAGGUCUUGAGUGCAGCAGAGGGAGAUGGAAUUCAUGGUGUAGCGGUGAAAUGUGUAGAUAUCAUGAAGAACACCGGUAGCGAAGGCGGUCUCCUGGUCUGUAACUGACACUGAGGCGCGAAAGCGUGGGGAGCAAAC